GUGCUUCCUUCAGAAGCGUAUGUACUACAAUCGGAACAGUACGGAGAUCAGCAUUGCUCCUGCGCAAAAUUAACAUGCAAAUUCAUGAGGCAUUUUAUUUAAAA
Molecule: small nuclear RNA, 104 nt
Filed under: Sorex araneus (European shrew)
Lineage: Eukaryota; Metazoa; Chordata; Mammalia; Eulipotyphla; Soricidae
Source: RNAcentral